RNAcentral lists this ribosomal RNA (882 nucleotides) under uncultured bacterium. RNAcentral's name for it is "bacterial SSU rRNA". It matches the Rfam family "Bacterial small subunit ribosomal RNA", at positions 28 to 896 of the family's 1533-position model. The record is from RNAcentral.
AACGAACGCUGGCGGCGCGUUUUAAGCAUGCAAGUCGGACGGCAAGCACUGUAGCAAUAUGGUGCCGAGAGUGGCGAACGGGUGAGUAACACGUAGGUGAUCUACCUCUGGAUGGGGGAUAGCCCGUGGAAACACGGGGUAAUACCGCAUGAGGCCUUGAGGGUAAAGCCUUGAGGUGAAAGGUGCAAUUGCACCGUCUGGGGAUGAGCCUGCGGUCCAUUAGUUAGUUGGCGGGGUAAAGGCCCACCAAGACUCCGAUGGAUAGCCGGCCUGAGAGGGUGUACGGCCACACUGGAACUGAGACACGGUCCAGACUCCUACGGGAGGCAGCAGCUAAGAAUCUUCCGCAACGGGGGAAACCCUGACGGAGCGACGCCGCGUGGAUGAUGAAGGCCGUAAGGUUGUAAAAUCCUUUUAUCGGUGAAGAAUAAGGAGGGGAGUGGAAAGCCCUUCUGAUGACGUUAGCCGAUGAAUAAGCCCCGGCUAAUUACGUGCCAGCAGCCGCGGUAAUACGUAUGGGGCAAGCGUUGUUCGGAGUUAUUGGGCGUAAAGGGCGUGUAGGCGGCUCAUGAAGUCUGGUGUGAAAUCGCAAGGCUCAACCUUGCAUAUGCGCUGGAAACUGGUGGGCUUGAGUUCUUGAGGGGAAGCUGGAAUUCCAGGUGUAGGGGUGAAAUCUGUAGAUAUCUGGAAGAACACCGGUGGCGAAGGCGAGCUUCUAUCAGAGGACUGACGCUGAGGCGCGAAAGCGUGGGGAGCAAACAGGAUUAGAUACCCUGGUAGUCCACGCUGUAAACGAUGUGCACUAGGCGUGGGGCACGUACGUGCUCUGUGCCGUAGCUAACGUGUUAAGUGCACCGCCUGGGGAGUAUGCUCGCAAGGGUG